AUUUGCGUCGAAGGUAUACCGGUAAGGAGUGCUGGAGCGAAUAGAAGUGAGCAUGCAGGCAUGAGUAGCGAUAAUUAAUGUGAGAAUCAUUAACGCCGUAAACCCAAGGUUUCCUACGCGAUGCUCGUCAUCGUAGGGUUAGUCGGGUCCUAAGUCGAGUCCGAAAGGGGUAGACGAUGGCAAAUUGGUUAAUAUUCCAAUACCAACAUUAGUGUGCGAUGGAAGGACGCUUAGGGCUAAGGGGGCUAGCGGAUGGAAGUGCUAGUCUAAGGUCGUAGGAGGUUAUACAGGCAAAUCCGUAUAACAAUACUCCGAGAACUGAAAGGCUUUUUGAAGUCUUCGGAUGGAUAGAAGAACCCCUGAUGCCGUCGAGCCAAGAAAAGUUUCUAAGUUUAGCUAAUGUUGCCCGUACCGUAAACCGACACAGGUGGGUGGGAUGAGUAUUCUAAGGCGCGUGGAAGAACUCUCUUUAAGGAACUCUGCAAAAUAGCACCGUAUCUUCGGUAUAAGGUGUGGUUCGCUUCGUAUUAGGAUUUACUCCGAAAGCGAAGAAACUUACAACAAAGAGUCCCUCCCGACUGUUUACCAAAAACACAGCACUCUGCUAACUCGUAAGAGGAUGUAUAGGGUGUGACGCCUGCCCGGUGCUCGAAGGUUAAUUGAUGGGGUUAGCAUUAGCGAAGCUCUUGAUCGAAGCCCGAGUAAACGGCGGCCGUAACUAUAACGGUCCUAAGGUAGCGAAAUUCCUUGUCGGUUAAAUACCGACCUGCAUGAAUGGCGUAACGAGAUGGGAGCUGUCUCAAAGAGGGAUCCAGUGAAAUUGUAGUGGAGGUGAAAAUUCCUCCUACCCGCGGCAAGACGGAAAGACCCCGUGGACCUUUACUACAGCUUGACACUGCUAUUUGGAUAAGAAUGUGCAGGAUAGGUGGGAGGCUUUGAGUAUAUGACGCCAGUUGUAUAUGAGCCAUUGUUGAGAUACCACUCUUUCUUAUUUGGGUAGCUAACCAGCUUGAGUUAUCCUCAAGUGGGACAAUGUCUGGUGGGUAGUUUGACUGGGGCGGUCGCCUCCCAAAUAAUAACGGAGGCUUACAAAGGUUGGCUCAGAACGGUUGGAAAUCGUUCGUAGAGUAUAAAGGUAUAAGCCAGCUUAACUGCAAGACAUACAAGUCAAGCAGAGACGAAAGUCGGUCUUAGUGAUCCGGUGGUUCUGUGUGGAAGGGCCAUCGCUCAAAGGAUAAAAGGUACCCCGGGGAUAACAGGCUGAUCUCCCCCAAGAGCUCACAUCGACGGGGAGGUUUGGCACCUCGAUGUCGGCUCAUCGCAUCCUGGGGCUGGAGCAGGUCCCAAGGGUAUGGCUGUUCGCCAUUUAAAGCGGUACGCGAGCUGGGUUCAGAACGUCGUGAGACAGUUCGGUCCCUAUCUGCCGUGGGCGUAAGAAGAUUGAAGAGAUUUGACCCUAGUACGAGAGGACCGGGUUGAACAAACCACUGGUGUAGCUGUUGUUCUGCCAAGAGCAUCGCAGCGUAGCUAAGUUUGGAAAGGAUAAACGCUGAAAGCAUCUAAGCGUGAAGCCAACUCUAAGAUGAAUCUUCUCUAAGCUCUCUAGAAGACUACUAGUUUGAUAGGCUGGGUGUGUAAUGGAUGAAAGUCCUUUAGCUGACCAGUACUAAUAGAGCGUUUGGCUUAUCUUU
This 1691-nucleotide ribosomal RNA is filed under the name Campylobacter coli. Its description in RNAcentral is "partial 23S ribosomal RNA". It matches the Rfam family "Bacterial large subunit ribosomal RNA", at positions 1243 to 2925 of the family's 2925-position model. The record is from RNAcentral. Lineage: Bacteria; Pseudomonadati; Campylobacterota; Epsilonproteobacteria; Campylobacterales; Campylobacteraceae.